UUCCGAAUUCGUGUCGGCGGUAUAUCGAUCUGAAACCAUGUUGAUCUUGUGGUGCGCGGCAGGAGAUUAAUGCUGAGUUAAGUAAAUGACUCGUGUGAAGUAAUACUCAUGUUAACCACGCGGCACACGGGGUACCGAAUUGGCAGACUCUGCCGAAUUUUUUUUUUUGAUAGAACGCAGUAACAUAUCCUGUCUAAUGAGGGAUUCCCCUUUUUUUUGGAGGCGUAAUAGUAUGUUGUCUUUUCUUUUGCGCAAAGUUAAUGGUAUGUUGUCACUUUCGCCUGGAUCGGAGUAGUAGCUUCAAGUCCACAAGAGUUGUCUUUUGACACAGAAAGGAACGCAGAAGAUUGAUCUAGAGAUUGCCAUGGUAUGCUGUAUAAUUAUUAUUUUCGGUUUGCUCUUGCGACCGUAAUUUUCUUGAGAGACUAGCUUUGUAUAUUUUUCCUUAGAUUAAUUUUUAAAAUGCAAUUAUUUGUUAAUGAACAUCUAAAUUUUGAAGCAUGUAUAUCUUCAAAUGCAGAGACACAAUUUAUGGAAAAAAAGGCCGAUUCGCAACCAGAUCGAUCCAACCAAAACGAACAUUAAAGAAAUGAAUAUUUCCGGUCAAACUAAAAACUUCAUCAUGAUCAUUCGAAUUCAACGGCUCUAGCUCCUUCCUUCGCAUCUUAGGGAGUGUUUGUUUCCUCCCAUGGGCCUUGGCUCGCAGCCAAGCUGCAAAAACGGUUAGUUUGGUUCCCUGCAUGGGCCUCGGCCUGCACCCGCGCACUGCAUUGCGGCUGCAAAAAAUGGACUCCAGCCUGCACGCCAGAAACGCCCGAUUGGGGCGUUUUUCUGAUUGUUGCCGUCCACGAGCCAUUCCUCCAUGCU
Molecule: long non-coding RNA, 867 nt
Filed under: Brachypodium distachyon (stiff brome)
Lineage: Eukaryota; Viridiplantae; Streptophyta; Magnoliopsida; Poales; Poaceae
Description: long non-coding RNA (BDIS_LNC005899)
Source: RNAcentral